GUAGUCUCGCACAGAUGCAUAUCAAUAAGCGGAGGAAAAGAAACUAACAAGGAUUCCCCUAGUAACGGCGAGUGAAGCGGGAAGAGCUCAAAUUUGAAAUCUUAAAGGGUUUCCCUUUACGAAUUGUAGUUUAAAGAAGUGUUUUCUGUUGAGGUUUUGGUAAAAGUUCUUUGGAAUAGGACAUCAUAGAGGGUGAGAAUCCCGUAUUUGACCUUUACUUUCAAUUUUGUGAUACACUUUCAAAGAGUCGGAUUGUUUGGGAAUGCAGUCCAAAAUGGGUGGUAAAUUUCAUCUAAAGCUAAAUAUUGGCGAGAGACCGAUAGCGAACAAGUACCGUGAGGGAAAGAUGAAAAGAACUUUGAAAAGAGAGUUAAACAGUACGUGAAAUUGUCAAAAGGGAAGCGUUUGACACCAGUGUUGUUUUUCUGAAAAUCAAUUAAAGAACUGUUUAUGCUAAGUUGUUUAGACUUUAUCAGCUAACUGUUUAGUUUUGAGCUUUUCUUUAAUGCACUUUUCAGUUAACAAGUCAACAUCAAUUUCCUUUGCUGUAAAAAGGUAGAGGAAGGUGGCUUGCAGAUUCGUUUAAGUGUUUAUAGCCUCUUUAGCCUCUGCAGUCGGAGAGAUUGAGGUCUGCAGCGUAGAUCCUUCGAGGCUAAAUAGCAUUUAGUGCUAAGUUAUAGCAUUUUCAUAGACAACUUGUUGACUAUGAUUUAGUCAUGUAGCUUACUCGUAGUGCUAUUUUACCUACGCUUAGGAUGUUGAGCGCAUGUCUCUCUU
RNAcentral lists this ribosomal RNA (777 nucleotides) under uncultured Neocallimastigales. RNAcentral's name for it is "partial large subunit ribosomal RNA". It matches the Rfam family "Eukaryotic large subunit ribosomal RNA", at positions 24 to 617 of the family's 3401-position model. The record is from RNAcentral. Lineage: Eukaryota; Fungi; Neocallimastigomycota; Neocallimastigomycetes; Neocallimastigales.